CUGCAUCUCCAUGACAGGAAUGCAGACUGUCAGUCAGUCCGAGAGGCCCUGCCCUAAAAAAAGCAGAUGUAAAGCAAGCAGAAGCAGGAUUCAGGACAGCAAAUAUUCAGUUUUAUUUAAAGCCACAAUAAAAAAACAGGCUGAACGAUCAGAUCGAUUUCUCUUGUUCCAAUAAUUAAUGAAGUACUUUGUAAAAGCGCAGCAUGUUCGUCCUCAUCCCACUGUAUGUCUGAGUUUCAACUCUGAGCAUGUUACAUUAUGGAAAUAUGACAAAUGCAAAAUGCUUUGUCCUUAUGUUUAAGACGAGCUCAUUAAACAUCCGUUUUCCUUUUUUUCAUAUCCAAGUAAUAAAACAUCGUUCGCCAUCUGUUGUUUUGCACUAAUUAAUUGUUCAGCCACAAAGUGUCUCCGUUGCUCUGCAUUAAUAGAACAGACUGAUUCCCCUCAGCCGUUGGACUAGUCAUUCUUCUGUAUUUGUUUCCAUGGCAAAGCAGACAAUCAUUUACAAACUCAUAUGUUCGCUGGUUUAGCUUGAGCGGAGACACAAAUGUCUUGAUGUAUUAAUGAUGUGAUAUGUUUACAUUAAACACUAUUUAUGUUCUAUACUGUACUAUAAUAUGGAUGUUGGACUUUGUGUGAUAAAUAUAAACCUGUUGUUUGAAAUUAAACAACACAACAACAAGAAACCUUUUCAAAAGUAAGAAGCAUUUGAAAAAAAACAAACUUGUCAUAACUAAUUCUGCAAAAUCUUGUGCACUGGUUUGACGGCAUUGAUCAUACGCGUCUCAGACUGUCAGUAUUUCUUGCUGCUCUCUAAAUCCUCAUUUGGCUUCUCCCUGUGGACAACAACAGCACGAUUUCUCCUCCUUGCCGUAGCGGAGCGCGGUGCGAGCUGCAGACGGCUUCAGAAGCCUAACAACUUCCACAAGAGGUCCACACAGAUGCUGUCUGGGAGGCGGGGUUCAGAGCGUUCAUCCCGUCUGCGUGCGUCCAGCGGGUUCCGACGCCUCUGCAAACACCCGUGCUGUGAUACAGGCCCAUCCUGCUCAUCCUCCCGCCUGCGCUCCCCGGCGCUCGCUCCUAAAAGUGAAGCGCUAUUCUAGGAGCAAGGUAACAAUCAACAUGGCCAAGAUCGUUAGCCUCAGUUUUCCCCCCGGGCCAGACACAGAAAAUAACUUUCCCUUUUCCCUGGCAUCUGCAGAUACUGGGGUAAAUGAAGACAUACAGCCCCCAGGUUCACCGGCCCGCUCAAGGUAA
RNAcentral lists this long non-coding RNA (1257 nucleotides) under Betta splendens (Siamese fighting fish). Its description in RNAcentral is "lncRNA (ENSBSLG00000024640.1)". The record is from RNAcentral. Lineage: Eukaryota; Metazoa; Chordata; Actinopteri; Anabantiformes; Osphronemidae.